GGAGAUAAGCGGACUCGAACCGCUGACAUCCGCC
RNAcentral lists this transfer RNA (34 nucleotides) under Helianthus annuus (common sunflower). RNAcentral describes it as "tRNA-Ala". The record is from RNAcentral. RNAcentral also lists the same sequence under 11 other names. Lineage: Eukaryota; Viridiplantae; Streptophyta; Magnoliopsida; Asterales; Asteraceae.